UGGUAGUGUAUUGGACAACCAUGGCAGUCACGGGUAACGGAGAAUUAGGGUUCGAUUCCGGAGAGGGAGCCUGAGAAACGGCUACCACAUCUAAGGAAGGCAGCAGGCGCGUAAAUUACCCAAUCCCGAUUCGGGGAGGUAGUGACAAGAAAUAGCAACUCGUGCGGGUUUCCGUUACGGGAUUGCAAUGAGAUAAGUCCAAAUCCGUAAACGAUUAACAAUUGGAGGGCAAGUCUGGUGCCAGCAGCCGCGGUAAUUCCAGCUCCAAUAGCGUAUACUUAAGUUGUUGCAGUUAAAAAGCUCGUAGUUGAAAUUCGAGUCAGUUACUAGUUGGCUUUUCGUCAGUUAGUUAAUUGAUUCUCCGUCUACAAUCCCUUUUGCGCUUUAGGGUUGCAGCUGGGCGAGUAGACAAUUUACCUUGAAAAAAUUAGAGUGUUCCAGGCAGGUCUUCGCCGGAAUACAUUAGCAUGGAAUAAUGGAAUAGGACUUGGGUCUUUUGUUGGUUUUAGGACUUGAGUAAUGAUUAAUAGGGACAGAUGGGGGCAUUAGUAUUUAAUUGUCAGAGGUGAAAUUCUUGGAUUUAUUAAAGACUAACUUAUGCGAAAGCAUUUGCCAAGGAUGUUUUCAUUAAUCAAGAACGAAAGUUAGGGGGAUCAAAGACGAU
This 664-nucleotide ribosomal RNA is filed under the name uncultured ciliate. RNAcentral describes it as "SSU rRNA". It matches the Rfam family "Eukaryotic small subunit ribosomal RNA", at positions 326 to 1008 of the family's 1831-position model. Lineage: Eukaryota; Ciliophora. The record is from RNAcentral.